UAUCAUUCAAGGGACAAAGUUAGUUUUUCAUCAAAAAAUCAUCUUGUGGUUUUGCACCCCUCCCCCAUGACAACAUGUUGAUGUUGCAUCUACUUAAUUUAAUUACGGAUAAUACAAAUGUUUAAAGGUGUUAGACUAGGCAAGGAUAAGCUAAUGGCAUGAAACCAUAGGGCACUUAUUUGAUGAAAAACAAACUUGUCUCUCAAACACCGUCGUUAGAAUCUUACGACUUUUGAUUCAAAUCCUUGUCAUAGCGAAAAUCUAUAAGGUGAAUGUACUGAAUCUUGACCGAAUCUUAUGA
RNAcentral lists this unclassified non-coding RNA (301 nucleotides) under Hevea brasiliensis (rubber tree). Lineage: Eukaryota; Viridiplantae; Streptophyta; Magnoliopsida; Malpighiales; Euphorbiaceae. The record is from RNAcentral.